UACGGAGGAUCCAAGCGUUGUCCGGAUUUAUUGGGUUUAAAGGGUGCGUAGGCGGAUAAUUAAGUCAGUGGUGAAAUCUUGCGGCUCAACCGUAAAAUUGCCAUUGAAACUGAUUAUCUUGAGUACAGUUGAGGUGGGCGGAAUGUAUCAUGUAGCGGUGAAAUGCGUAGAUAUGCGGAAGAACACCGGUGGCGAAGGCGGCUCACUGGACCGGUACUGACGCUGAUGCGCGAAAGCGUGGGGAGCAAACAGG
Molecule: ribosomal RNA, 253 nt
Filed under: uncultured bacterium
Lineage: Bacteria
Description: partial 16S ribosomal RNA
Rfam family: Bacterial small subunit ribosomal RNA
Source: RNAcentral